AGAGUUUGAUCCUGGCUCAGGAUGAACGCUGGCGGCGUGCCUAACACAUGCAAGUCGAACGGGGAGCAUUUCGGUGCUUCGAGUGGCGCACGGGUGAGGAACACGUAGCUGACCUGCCUCAGACACUGGGAUAACGGGCGGAAACGCUCGCUAAUACCGGAUAAGCUCCCGCGCUUUAGAGGCGUGCGAGAAAAGCUCCGGCGGUCUGAGAGGGGGCUGCGUCCCAUCAGCUAGUUGGUGUGGUAACGGCGCACCAAGGCAGCGACGGGUCGGGGACCUGAGAGGGUGACCCCCCACACUGGAACUGAGACACGGUCCAGACUCCUACGGGAGGCAGCAGUGAGGAAUAUUGCUCAAUGGGCGCAAGCCUGAAGCAGCGACGCCGCGUGGGCGAUGAAGGUCUUCGGAUCGUAAAGCCCUUUUCUCUGGGACGAGCAGGGACGGUACCAGAGGAAUAAGUGUCGGCUAACUACGUGCCAGCCGCCGCGGUAAUAC
This 495-nucleotide ribosomal RNA is filed under the name uncultured bacterium. Its description in RNAcentral is "bacterial SSU rRNA". It matches the Rfam family "Bacterial small subunit ribosomal RNA", at positions 8 to 526 of the family's 1533-position model. The record is from RNAcentral.